This 314-nucleotide unclassified non-coding RNA is filed under the name uncultured fungus. RNAcentral describes it as "partial contains 5.8S ribosomal RNA and internal transcribed spacer 2". The stretch from base 1 to 133 matches the Rfam family "5.8S ribosomal RNA", at positions 22 to 154 of the family's 154-position model. Lineage: Eukaryota; Fungi. The record is from RNAcentral.
UGGUUCUGGCAUCGAUGAAGAACGCAGCGAAAUGCGAUAAGUAAUGUGAAUUGCAGAAUUCAGUGAAUCAUCGAGUUUUUGAACGCACACUGCGCCCCUUGGUAUUCCGGGGGGCAUGCCCGUUCGAGCGUCAUUUCACCAAUCAAGCCUGGCUUGGUAUUGGGCCAUGGGAUAUUAUUACCCGGGCCUCAAAGUCGCCGGCUGGAAAGUCCUGAUCUCAGCGUCGUGGUUAAUCAAUUCGCCGACGAGAGGGGCGGUUCACGCCGUAAAAUUUAUCACAGGUUGACCUCGGAUCGGGUAGGAAUACCCGCUGA